UGGAAUCGAACCUGGGACCCUUCAGUCCGCAGUCCGACGCUCUAUCCACUGAGCCAAACCAGCCAGGGCCUGGAGCCUUUUAAAAAUUAAUCCCUUCACAAAGUGCACUCCCUCCUCCAUCCUCACGUACCGAAGGAGCUUCGAUAGGACCGCCCUUGACUCGCCACAGCCAAACCUACAGCUGCUCCACCCUCCUUGACAGGAAAGACUAGGAACUCCCCGAGGGCAGGGACCCACUGCCAGCAUGCUGCCUGGAAUACAGUAGGUGCUCAAUCAGUGUUUACUGGAUGAACUGUCUGUCUCCUUGUCUGCAUCCCCAGCCCCCUGGAUUCUUUCUGAGGGUUGGGUCUGGGUCUGAGCUGCCUCAGGGUUCCCAGCACCAUCUCCAAGGAGCACAGAGAAUGUUUGUUAAAUGAAUGAGGGAGGGAGGAGGCAGCUGCAUCCAUUGCUAGGACAGAUCUAGUGCCCCCAGGCUUUUCCUACUUUGAAUGGAAAUCUCCCCAAAUCAGGCCCUGGUUCCUGACUCUCUGGGUCCCCCAUGUUCCCCGCCCCCCUUCCCUGUCCUUAAUUGCUGACAUGAGCCUGGUCUCCCUCAGAACCAUCCUUUCUUUACUUCUCCACCCAUCACUUAAAACUUCCUUUCCUCCAGCCCCUCCCUCCCUCACCCAACUCCACUGCCUCAUCAUAUCACACAUGCCACACCCUUCCCCCCCCUCCCUCAGGCUUCUACCUCCACUUCUCUGGCUCCUCCUCCUCCCCAGUCCCCUAAUGUUGGUGUUCUAGGACUCUAUUCAGCCCCCUUCUUAUUUUCUUCUUCAAGAAGCCCAUCCACCCCCUCAGAUUCCAGCCAAAGGUGAGGUAACCCCGCCCCAGGCUUUGCACCUUUUCCAAAAACCCUUCCUGGACGUCUCCAGACCCUGUGGACUCCUCGCUACCACCGGGUGGAGGGCUCCACCCCAGGUCAGGACUCCGCCUGCCUCCACCCAGGUCUACUACCAGGAUGGAAUCUGAGUAAAGGGGUUUGUUUGGGCUGUGGGUAACAAAGAUUAAAA
This is a long non-coding RNA of Myotis lucifugus (little brown bat), 1052 nucleotides long. RefSeq lists it as uncharacterized. The record is from RefSeq and is a predicted model, not a curated record. The transcript is spliced from 2 exons. NCBI's taxonomy places the organism in Eukaryota, Metazoa, Chordata, Mammalia, Chiroptera, Vespertilionidae.